Molecule: ribosomal RNA, 335 nt
Filed under: uncultured soil bacterium
Lineage: Bacteria
Description: bacterial SSU rRNA
Rfam family: Bacterial small subunit ribosomal RNA
Source: RNAcentral
AGAGUGAACGCUGGCGGUAGGCCUAACACAUGCAAGUCGAACGGCAGCACGGUAAGAGCUUGCUCUUAUGGGUGGCGAGUGGCGGACGGGUGAGGAAUACAUCGGAAUCUACCUUUUGGUGGGGGAUAACGUAGGGAAACUUACGCUAAUACCGCAUACGCCCUUCGGGGGAAAGCCGGGGACCAGCAAUGGCCUGGUGCUGAUAGAUGAGCCGAUGUCGGAUUAGCUAGUUGGUGAGGUAAUGGCUCACCAAGGCGACGAUCCGUAGCUGGUCUGAGAGGAUGAUCAGCCACACUGGAACUGAGACACGGUCCAGACUCCUACGGGAGCAGCAG